RNAcentral lists this ribosomal RNA (950 nucleotides) under uncultured bacterium. Its description in RNAcentral is "bacterial SSU rRNA". It matches the Rfam family "Bacterial small subunit ribosomal RNA", at positions 9 to 980 of the family's 1533-position model. The record is from RNAcentral.
GAGUUUGAUCAUGGCUCAGGAUAAACGCUGGCGGCGUGCAUGAGACAUGCAAGUCGAACGAGUGACCGGGCUUGCUCGGUCGCUAGUGGCGGACGGCUGAGUAACGCGUGGGUGACCUGCCCCGAAGUGGGGGAUAACUGCCCGAAAGGGUGGCUAAUACCGCAUGUGGCGGUGCGUUCGAUCGCACCAUCAAAGCCGAAAGGCGCUUCGGGAGGGGCCUGCGUCCGAUUAGCUCGUUGGUGGGGUAACGGCUCACCAAGGCGACGAUCGGUAGGUGGUCUGAGAGGACGAUCACCCAGACUGGACUGAGACACGGCCCAGACUCCUACGGGAGGCAGCAGUCGGGAAUUUUGCUCAAUGGGCGCAAGCCUGAAGCAGCAACGCCGCGUGAGGGAUGAAGGCCUUCGGGUUGUAAACCUCUUUUCUCAGGGACGAUGAUGACGGUACCUGAGGAAUAAGUCACGGCUAACUACGUGCCAGCAGCCGCGGUAAUACGUAGGUGACCAGCGUUGUCCGGAUUUACUGGGCGUAAAGAGCGCGCAGGCGGUCGUUCAAGUCGAGUGUGAAAGCCCCCGGCUCAACUGGGGAGGGUCACUCGAUACUGAUCGACUUGAAGGCGGGAGAGGGUAGUGGAAUUCCCGGUGUAGUGGUGAAAUGCGUAGAUAUCGGGAGGAACACCAGUGGCGAACGCGACUACCUGGCCCGUUCUUGACGCUGAGGCGUGAAAGCUAGGGGAGCAAACGGGAUUAGAUACCCCGGUAGUCCUAGCCGUAAACGAUGGACACUUGGUGUUGGUGGUAUCAACCCCACCAGUGCCGAAGCUAACGCAUUAAGUGUCCCGCCUGGGGAGUACGGCCGCAAGGCUAAAACUCAAAGGAAUUGACGGGGGCCCGCACAAGCAGCGGAGCGUGUGGUUUAAUUCGAUGUUACACGAAGAACCUUACCCGGGU